GAUGAACGCUGGCGGCGUGCCUAAUACAUGCAAGUCGAGCGAACAGACUAGGAGCUUGCUCCUCUGACGUUAGCGGCGGACGGGUGAGUAACACGUGGAUAACCUACCUAUAAGACUGGGAUAACUUCGGGAAACCGGAGCUAAUACCGGAUAAUAUAUUGAACCGCAUGGUUCAAUAGUGAAAGACGGUUUUGCUGUCACUUAUAGAUGGAUCCGCGCCGCAUUAGCUAGUUGGUAAGGUAACGGCUUACCAAGGCGACGAUGCGUAGCCGACCUGAGAGGGUGAUCGGCCACACUGGAACUGAGACACGGUCCAGACUCCUACGGGAGGCAGCAGUAGGGAAUCUUCCGCAAUGGGCGAAAGCCUGACGGAGCAACGCCGCGUGAGUGAUGAAGGUCUUCGGAUCGUAAAACUCUGUUAUUAGGGAAGAACAAAUGUGUAAGUAACUAUGCACGUCUUGACGGUACCUAAUCAGAAAGCCACGGCUAACUACGUG
Molecule: ribosomal RNA, 497 nt
Filed under: uncultured bacterium
Lineage: Bacteria
Description: partial 16S ribosomal RNA
Rfam family: Bacterial small subunit ribosomal RNA
Source: RNAcentral